Long non-coding RNA from Gallus gallus (chicken), 779 nucleotides. The record is from Ensembl. Lineage: Eukaryota; Metazoa; Chordata; Aves; Galliformes; Phasianidae.
CUCCCAGGAGGAAUACACGCUGCUUUUCGGUGUCCUUGUUUUUCCAAGGAAGCUGUUCUUUUCAGGGGCAGGCUUUCAGAAACCUGACCCUGAGCAGGCACCAAACCCAGGUGAGGGGCUCCAGGGUCUUAUUUCAAUUCUCCUUCACCAUCCUCUGCCGCCUCCACUAUCUGAUGCUGUGCAAAUGUUCCCAGGCUCCACGAAGGCUUCGCCUUGCUCAGUCCCAUCUCUGAUUUCCAUGGUGCAUCAGAAAAGAAGAGGAUGACUCCUUUGACCCCCCUGCUGUGUGUUCAUUUCAAUCAUCUGCUCUGGGCUCUGCUGGGAGAGGGACGGUUCCACCCAGCCUGCCUGGCCCUGCGUCCCACUCAGCACCAGAGAAAAGCAGCUCAAAAAAUGUCAUGUGCUGGAAAGAAGAAGCAUAUGGAGCUUGAAGAUAUCCAUUGUCUCCAAAUCCUAUACUCAAAGAAUGACCCUUUGUUGCCCUGCACUCAUCACUGGGUAGCAUGGGCUGCUCAUGAGCCUUCCCUUUCGCCUAGGUUGCCAGUAUCAGUACUAUUGUGGGGAACUCAUCCACGCUAACAUAACUGGUCCUUGAAUGAUUUGUUUGCACCCCAGAUCAAUGCAGAAUGAUGAUCAUUCCAUCCAGAGAUGGCCCAAGGGCACGUGCUGCUGCCACACUGCCUAUGUGCACUCACUCCCUGGUGUUACCGCUUCCCUCAACCAAAAUCUGUUUGAAAUAAACUGUAUAUUUUUUCUGGCAAAAAUAAAAAAUAAAGAAG